This is a small nuclear RNA of Erinaceus europaeus (western European hedgehog), 108 nucleotides long. The record is from RefSeq and is a predicted model, not a curated record. NCBI's taxonomy places the organism in Eukaryota, Metazoa, Chordata, Mammalia, Eulipotyphla, Erinaceidae.
GUUCACUUCGGCAGAGCUGAGACUAAAAUUGGAACAAUACAGAGAAGAUUAGCCAGGUCCCUCACAAGCCUGACGCGCAGUACAUGAAGUAUUUUGUGAAGUGAUUUU